UAAAUUAUUGUUGACUAUAGUCACAAUGUUGUGCUAUUAAAUACCAGAUCUUAUUCAUUCUAAUUAUGUUUUUGUACUGAUUGACUACCCCUAUUUCAUCCCCACAGCCCCACUACCCUUUCCAGCCUCUGGUAACCAUCCUCUCUAUCUCCAUGAGUUCCAAUAAACAGGUUAUAAAAUUGAUUAAAAUUGCAGUACAUCAACUCUACACAUAUACCUGCUCUGUUACUGGAGACUAAUGUAAUCCAAAUAUGUGGAAAAGUCAAAUAGUUCUCAGCAAAAUUAAUUUAGAUGGAUGGAUCAGAUAACAACUUGGAACUGAACCUAAAAGGAUCAUUCCUACUAAAAGGCAACAAAAGCAAAAUCAUUGAAGAAACCACUGAUGUUCAUUGCCACAAGAUUUGUCGUCUUUCAAACAAAGAUAAAAAAUGAUCAACUGAUCAAGAUGGCACAGUUCUAAGGGCCAGCCUAUACUUUUUUUUGCCUCAUCCAUU
Molecule: long non-coding RNA, 494 nt
Filed under: Homo sapiens (human)
Lineage: Eukaryota; Metazoa; Chordata; Mammalia; Primates; Hominidae
Description: HSALNT0321288
Source: RNAcentral